GUCGCGCAAGAUCAUAGUGGUGGAUCACCUGCUUCUUGAGAGCAGGAGGUGCUGGGUUCGAUUCCCAGGCGUGGCC
This 76-nucleotide transfer RNA is filed under the name Bremerella sp. P1. Its description in RNAcentral is "tRNA-OTHER". The record is from RNAcentral. Lineage: Bacteria; Pseudomonadati; Planctomycetota; Planctomycetia; Pirellulales; Pirellulaceae.